GAUGAACGCUAGCGGGAGGCUUAACACAUGCAAGUCGAGGGGCAGCAUAGGGUAGCAAUACUCUGAUGGCGACCGGCAAACGGGUGAGUAACGCGUAUGCAACCUACCCUGUACAGGGGGAUAACCCGGAGAAAUUCGGACUAAUAUCCCGUAAUAAUAUCCGGAGGCAUCUUUGGAUAUUUAAAGUUCCGACGGUACGGGAUGGGCAUGCGUAACAUUAACUGGUUGGUAAGGUAACGGCUUACCAAGGCUAUGAUGUUUAGGGGUCCUGAGAGGGUGGUCCCCCACACUGGUACUGAGACACGGACCAGACUCCUACGGGAGGCAGCAGUGAGGAAUAUUGGUCAAUGGGCGCAAGCCUGAACCAGCCAUCCCGCGUGCAGGAAGACGGCCCUAUGGGUUGUAAAACUGCUUUUCCAGGGAGAGAAACUUACGCACGUGUUGCGUGACUGACGGUACCCUGGGAAUAAGCAUCGGCUAACUCCGUGCCAGCAGCCGCGGUAAACCGAGAGUA
This 514-nucleotide ribosomal RNA is filed under the name uncultured bacterium. RNAcentral's name for it is "bacterial SSU rRNA". It matches the Rfam family "Bacterial small subunit ribosomal RNA", at positions 28 to 533 of the family's 1533-position model. The record is from RNAcentral.